GGCUGGUCCAAUGGUAGUGGGUUAUCAGAACUUAUUAACAUUAGUGUCACUAACGUUGGUAUACAACUCCUCACUGCUAAAUUUGACUGGCUUUAA
Molecule: unclassified non-coding RNA, 96 nt
Organism: Prolemur simus (greater bamboo lemur)
Lineage: Eukaryota; Metazoa; Chordata; Mammalia; Primates; Lemuridae
Rfam family: Y RNA
About the family: Y RNAs are components of the Ro ribonucleoprotein particle (Ro RNP), in association with Ro60 and La proteins.
Source: Ensembl